UACGUAGGUGGCGAGCGUUGUCCGGAUUUACUGGGUGUAAAGGGCGUGUAGGCGGGGAAACAAGUCAGAUGUGAAAUCCCGUGGCUUAACUGCGGGGCUGCAUCUGAAACUGUUUUUCUUGAGUGCUGGAGAGGAAAGUGGAAUUCCCAGUGUAGCGGUGAAAUGCGUAGAGAUUGGGAGGAACACCAGUGGCGAAGGCGGCUUUCUGGACAGUAACUGACGCUGAGGCGCGAAAGCGUGGGGAGCAAACAGG
RNAcentral lists this ribosomal RNA (253 nucleotides) under uncultured bacterium. Its description in RNAcentral is "partial 16S ribosomal RNA". It matches the Rfam family "Bacterial small subunit ribosomal RNA", at positions 524 to 776 of the family's 1533-position model. The record is from RNAcentral.